This 198-nucleotide ribosomal RNA is filed under the name uncultured prokaryote. RNAcentral's name for it is "partial 16S ribosomal RNA". It matches the Rfam family "Bacterial small subunit ribosomal RNA", at positions 524 to 721 of the family's 1533-position model. The record is from RNAcentral.
GACAGAGGAUGCAAGCGUUAUCCGGAAUGAUUGGGCGUGAAGCGUCUGUAGGUGGCUUUUUAAGUCUGCCGUCAAAUCCCAGGGCUCAACCCUGGACAGGCGGUGGAAACUACCAAGCUAGAGUACGGUAGGGGCAGAGGGAAUUUCCGGUGGAGCGGUGAAAUGCGCAGAUAUCAGGAGGAACACCAAUGGCGAAGG